RNAcentral lists this unclassified non-coding RNA (233 nucleotides) under Hevea brasiliensis (rubber tree). Lineage: Eukaryota; Viridiplantae; Streptophyta; Magnoliopsida; Malpighiales; Euphorbiaceae. The record is from RNAcentral.
CCCUCGCUCCCGGCGAGGCCGGGCCGAAACGGCAAAACCGCUGUUCUUUUGGGCACCCUAGGCCUUUUUCGUGUCGGAUCGUGCUUUGUUCAUCUUCCCUUCAGAUGAAAAACGCAUUUGUUUAGGACGAGUUAGACCGGCUUAAACCCGAACGGGCACCCGGCAGGGGGCGAAGGACGACAUGCUCGAUCUUGCGAUUGUAGGCGGUGGGCCGGGUGGCCUGAUGAGCGCCU